CCUACGGGUGGCAGCAGUGAGGAAUAUUGGUCAAUGGACGAGAGUCUGAACCAGCCAAGUAGCGUGAAGGAUGACUGCCCUAUGGGUUGUAAACUUCUUUUAUAUGGGAAUAAAAUGUUCCACGUGUGGGAUUUUGUAUGUACCAUAUGAAUAAGGAUCGGCUAACUCCGUGCCAGCAGCCGCGGUAAUACGGAGGAUCCGCGCGUUAUCCGGAUUUAUUGGGUUUAAAGGGAGCGUAGGUGGAUUGUUAAGUCAGUUGUGAAAGUUUGCGGCUCAACCGUAAAAUUGCAGUUGAAACUGGCAGUCUUGAGUACAGUAGAGGUGGGCGGAAUUCGUGGUGUAGCGGUGAAAUGCUUAGAUAUCACGAAGAACUCCGAUUGCGAAGGCAGUUCACUGGACUGCAACUGACACUGAGGCUCGAAAGUGUGGGUAUCAAACAGGAGUAGAGACCCUAGUAGUC
RNAcentral lists this ribosomal RNA (460 nucleotides) under uncultured bacterium. RNAcentral's name for it is "partial 16S ribosomal RNA". It matches the Rfam family "Bacterial small subunit ribosomal RNA", at positions 338 to 795 of the family's 1533-position model. The record is from RNAcentral.